GAGAGGACCAGAGUGGACGAACCUCUGGUGUACCGGUUGUGACGCCAGUCGCAUCGCCGGGUAGCUAUGUUCGGAAGGGAUAACCGCUGAAAGCAUCUAAGCGGGAAGCCUACCUCAAGAUAAGAUUUCCCUAGGACUUUAUGUCCUCUAAAGAGCCGUUCGAGACUAGGACGUUGAUAGGUUGGAUGUGGAAGCAUAGUGAUAUGUGAAGCUGACCAAUACUAAUUGCUCGUGAGGCUUGACUAUACAACACCCAAGCAGUUG
Molecule: ribosomal RNA, 264 nt
Filed under: Acinetobacter baumannii
Lineage: Bacteria; Pseudomonadati; Pseudomonadota; Gammaproteobacteria; Moraxellales; Moraxellaceae
Description: partial 23S ribosomal RNA
Rfam family: Bacterial large subunit ribosomal RNA
Source: RNAcentral